This 1633-nucleotide ribosomal RNA is filed under the name Bacillus paralicheniformis. RNAcentral's name for it is "partial 23S ribosomal RNA". It matches the Rfam family "Bacterial large subunit ribosomal RNA", at positions 1 to 1627 of the family's 2925-position model. The record is from RNAcentral. Lineage: Bacteria; Bacillati; Bacillota; Bacilli; Caryophanales; Bacillaceae.
CGGUUAAGUUAGAAAGGGCGCACGGUGGAUGCCUUGGCACUAGGAGCCGAUGAAGGACGGGACGAACACCGAUAUGCUUCGGGGAGCUGUAAGCAAGCUUUGAUCCGGAGAUUUCCGAAUGGGGAAACCCACUGCUCGUAAUGGAGCAGUAUCCAUAUCUGAAUUCAUAGGAUAUGAGAAGGCAGACCCGGGGAACUGAAACAUCUAAGUACCCGGAGGAAGAGAAAGCAAAUGCGAUUCCCUGAGUAGCGGCGAGCGAAACGGGAACAGCCCAAACCAAGAGGCUUGCCUCUUGGGGUUGUAGGACACUCUGUACGGAGUUACAAAGGAACGAGGUAGAUGAAGAGGUCUGGAAAGGCCCGCCAUAGGAGGUAACAGCCCUGUAGUCAAAACUUCGUUCUCUCCUGAGUGGAUCCUGAGUACGGCGGAACACGUGAAAUUCCGUCGGAAUCCGGGAGGACCAUCUCCCAAGGCUAAAUACUCCCUAGUGACCGAUAGUGAACCAGUACCGUGAGGGAAAGGUGAAAAGCACCCCGGAAGGGGAGUGAAAGAGAUCCUGAAACCGUGUGCCUACAAGUAGUCAGAGCCCGUUAACGGGUGAUGGCGUGCCUUUUGUAGAAUGAACCGGCGAGUUACGAUCCCGUGCAAGGUUAAGUUUGAAAAGACGGAGCCGCAGCGAAAGCGAGUCUGAAUAGGGCGCAUGAGUACGUGGUCGUAGACCCGAAACCAGGUGAUCUACCCAUGUCCAGGGUGAAGUUCAGGUAACACUGAAUGGAGGCCCGAACCCACGCACGUUGAAAAGUGCGGGGAUGAGGUGUGGGUAGGGGUGAAAUGCCAAUCGAACCUGGAGAUAGCUGGUUCUCUCCGAAAUAGCUUUAGGGCUAGCCUCAAGGUAAGAGUCUUGGAGGUAGAGCACUGAUUGGACUAGGGGCCCCUACCGGGUUACCGAAUUCAGUCAAACUCCGAAUGCCAAAGACUUAUCCUUGGGAGUCAGACUGCGAGUGAUAAGAUCCGUAGUCGAAAGGGAAACAGCCCAGACCGCCAGCUAAGGUCCCAAAGUAUACGUUAAGUGGAAAAGGAUGUGGAGUUGCUUAGACAACCAGGAUGUUGGCUUAGAAGCAGCCACCAUUUAAAGAGUGCGUAAUAGCUCACUGGUCGAGUGACUCUGCGCCGAAAAUGUACCGGGGCUAAACGUAUCACCGAAGCUGCGGACUGUUCUUACGAACAGUGGUAGGAGAGCGUUCUAAGGGCUGUGAAGCGAGACCGGAAGGACUCGUGGAGCGCUUAGAAGUGAGAAUGCCGGUAUGAGUAGCGAAAGAGGGGUGAGAAUCCCCUCCACCGAAUGCCUAAGGUUUCCUGAGGAAGGCUCGUCCGCUCAGGGUUAGUCGGGACCUAAGCCGAGGCCGAAAGGCGUAGGCGAUGGACAACAGGUUGAUAUUCCUGUACCACCUCCUCACCAUUUGAGCAAUGGGGGGACGCAGGAGGAUAGGGUAAGCGCGGUAUUGGAUAUCCGCGUCCAAGCAGUUAGGCUGGGAAAUAGGCAAAUCCGUUUCCCAUAAGGCUGAGCUGUGAUGGCGAGCGAAAUAUAGUAGCGAAGUUCCUGAUUCCACACUGCCAAGAAAAGCCUCUAGCG